GGCGGGUAUAAGCCCCGUUCUUAUCAU
This 27-nucleotide transfer RNA is filed under the name Trachylepis gonwouoi (Gonwouo's skink). RNAcentral's name for it is "partial tRNA-Tyr". The record is from RNAcentral. Lineage: Eukaryota; Metazoa; Chordata; Lepidosauria; Squamata; Scincidae.